UAACAUAUCAUUAUUUAAAUAAUAAUUUUAUAAAGCACACUUACAACCCAUGCAUCACACAGGAAAAAAAAUUAGUUAUUUAUAUUUAAAGCUUUGAAUAUUCAUUUUUCUGAAAUGCUUGUCAGACAUACAUAUAUAAGAUGUGAUUUUCAGAAAUAUCUAAUUACAUAGAUCAUAUCCAUGUCGAACACAUCUAUAUCCGUCUUUCACAUUCAAGAAGCAAUAUAGGUUUAAGUUAAUCAUGUUUGUGUAAACUAUUUCAUGUUGUACUAUAUAGGUUUUGAGGUGUUCAUAUCGUGUGCAUGUUAUUUUUGUGUCGUAUUAUGUUUUCUUUAUGUUUUCCGGG
This 346-nucleotide long non-coding RNA is filed under the name Gossypium raimondii (Peruvian cotton). RNAcentral describes it as "long non-coding RNA (GRAI_LNC004680)". Lineage: Eukaryota; Viridiplantae; Streptophyta; Magnoliopsida; Malvales; Malvaceae. The record is from RNAcentral.